AUGCAGUCGAGCGACUGAUUAGAAGCUUGCUUCUAUGACGUUAGCGGCGGACGGGUGAGUAACACGUGGGGCAACCUGCCUGUAAGACUGGGAUAACUCCGGGAAACCGGAGCUAAUACCGGAUAACAUUUUUUCUUGCAUAAGAGAAAAUUGAAAGAUGGUUUCGGCUAUCACUUACAGAUGGGCCCGCGGUGCAUUAGCUAGUUGGUGAGGUAACGGCUCACCAAGGCAACCGAUGCAUAGCCGACCUGAGAGGGUGAUCGGCCACACUGGGACUGAGACACGGCCCAGACUCCUACGGGAGGCAGCAGGGGAA
Molecule: ribosomal RNA, 316 nt
Filed under: Bacillus sp. AGH-21
Lineage: Bacteria; Bacillati; Bacillota; Bacilli; Caryophanales; Bacillaceae
Description: bacterial SSU rRNA
Rfam family: Bacterial small subunit ribosomal RNA
Source: RNAcentral